UACGUAGGCAGCAAGCGUUGUUCGGAAUUACUGGGCGUAAAGCGUGUGUAGGCGGUGCCGUAAGUUUGGUGUGAAAUCUCCCGGCUUAACUGGGAGGGUGCGCCGAAGACUGCGGUGCUCGAGUAGCGGAGAGGAAAGCGGAAUUCCUGGUGUAGCGGUGAAAUGCGUACAUAUCAGGAGGAACACCCGCGGUGUAGACGUCUUUCUAGACGCUCACUGAUGCUGAGACACGAAAGCGUGGGUAGCAAACAGG
RNAcentral lists this ribosomal RNA (253 nucleotides) under uncultured bacterium. RNAcentral's name for it is "partial 16S ribosomal RNA". It matches the Rfam family "Bacterial small subunit ribosomal RNA", at positions 524 to 776 of the family's 1533-position model. The record is from RNAcentral.